This 240-nucleotide small RNA is filed under the name Paenibacillus sp. FSL H7-0357. RNAcentral describes it as "BsrG". It matches the Rfam family "BsrG". From Rfam's summary of the family: bsrE, bsrG and bsrH pair through intermolecular interactions with antisense sRNAs. Lineage: Bacteria; Bacillati; Bacillota; Bacilli; Caryophanales; Paenibacillaceae. The record is from Rfam by way of RNAcentral.
AGUACAAUGGCAUAAGGGCGGUCGGCUAGUCUCCUGUAAAGGAGGUGAUGCCUGUGGAGAUAAAAGAUGCGUUAACGUUAAUGAUCCAAUUUGCAACGUUGAUGAUACUCGUUUUAUCUUUUAACAAAAAGAAAUAGACCGCCCCCCAGUAAGGAAUCGGUCUAUUCUUGAUCACCCUUGCAACGCCUACCGCUCUUAAUGCGGAUUGUACAUGAGGGGAGUCGUGUUACAGCACGGCUC